CGUGGCGAACGGGUGCGUAACACGUGGAUAACCUUCCUUCAGGUGGGGAAUAACCCAGUGAAAAUUGGGCUAAUACCGCAUAACAUGACGAUGGCACAUGCCGUUGUCUUCAAAGCCGCAAGGCGCCAGAAGAGGGAUCCGCGGCCGAUUAGCUUGUUGGCGAGGUAAUGGCUCACCAAGGCAUUGAUCGGUAGCCGGACUGAGAGGUUGACCGGCCACACUGGAACUGAGACACGGUCCAGACUCCUACGGGAGGCAGCAGUGGGGAAUCUUGCGCAAUGGACGAAAGUCUGACGCAGCAACGCCGCGUGGGGGAUGAAGCUUCUCGGAGUGUAAACCCCUUUCGACCCGGACGAAUGCCCGCAAGGGUUUGACGGUACGGGUAUAAGAAGCCCCGGCUAACUACGUGCCAGCAGCCGCGGUAAAACGUAGGGGGCCAGCGUUGCUCGGAAUUACUGGGCGUAAAGGGUCCGUAGGCGGUGUGGCAAGUCGGAAGUGAAAUCUCUGGGCUUAACCCAGAGGCUGCUCCCGAAACUGCCAUGCUAGAGUGCGAGAGAGGCGAGUGGAAUUGCGGGUGUAGCGGUGAAAUGCGUAGAUAUCCGCAGGAACAUCCGAGGCGAAAGCGGCUCGCUGGAUCGCAAC
This 642-nucleotide ribosomal RNA is filed under the name uncultured bacterium. RNAcentral's name for it is "bacterial SSU rRNA". It matches the Rfam family "Bacterial small subunit ribosomal RNA", at positions 94 to 740 of the family's 1533-position model. The record is from RNAcentral.